GAUGAACGCUGGCGGCGUGCCUAAUACAUGCAAGUCGAGCGAACGGACGAGAAGCUUGCUUCUCUGAUGUUAGCGGCGGACGGGUGAGUAACACGUGGAUAACCUACCUAUAAGACUGGGAUAACUUCGGGAAACCGUAGCUAAUACCGGAUAAUAUUUUGAACCGCAUGGUUCAAAAGUGAAAGACGGUCUUGCUGUCACUUAUAGAUUGAUCCGCGCUGCAUUAGCUAGUUGGUAAGGUAACGGCUUACCAAGGCAACGAUGCAUAGCCGACCUGAGAGGGUGAUCGGCCACACUGGAACUGAGACACGGUCCAGACUCCUACGGGAGGCAGCAGUAGGGAAUCUUACGGAAUGGGCGAAAGCCUGACGGAGCAACGCCGCGUGAGUGAUGAAGGUCUUCGGAUCGUAAAACGCUGUUAUUAGGGAAGAACAUAUGUGUAAGUAACUGUGCACAUCUUGACGGUACCUAAUCAGAAAGCCACGGCUAACUACGUG
RNAcentral lists this ribosomal RNA (497 nucleotides) under uncultured bacterium. RNAcentral's name for it is "partial 16S ribosomal RNA". It matches the Rfam family "Bacterial small subunit ribosomal RNA", at positions 28 to 507 of the family's 1533-position model. The record is from RNAcentral.